RNAcentral lists this ribosomal RNA (433 nucleotides) under uncultured bacterium. Its description in RNAcentral is "partial 16S ribosomal RNA". It matches the Rfam family "Bacterial small subunit ribosomal RNA", at positions 29 to 507 of the family's 1533-position model. The record is from RNAcentral.
AGCGAACGCUGGCGGCAGGCUUAACACAUGCAAGUCGAGCGGGCCCUUCGGGGUCAGCGGCAGACGGGUGAGUAACACGUGGGAACGUACCCUUUGGUUCGGAAUAACGCUGGGAAACUAGCGCUAAUACCGGACACGCCCUUUUGGGGAAAGGCUUGCUGCCGAAGGAUCGGCCCGCGUCUGAUUAGCUAGUUGGUGGGGUAAUGGCCUACCAAGGCGACGAUCAGUAGCUGGUCUGAGAGGAUGAUCAGCCACACUGGGACUGAGACACGGCCCAGACUCCUACGGGAGGCAGCAGUGGGGAAUAUUGGACAAUGGGCGCAAGCCUGAUCCAGCCAUGCCGCGUGAGUGAUGAAGGCCUUAGGGUUGUAAAGCUCUUUUGUCCGGGACGAUAAUGACGGUACCGGAAGAAUAAGCCCCGGCUAACUUCGUG